UUGUGUGGUACUCUAUGCCAGAGAGUGGCAAUCAUUUGUAAUUAGAUGUGAUUGACACCUCUAUGUGUGGAAUAAUACGUGC
This 82-nucleotide microRNA precursor is filed under the name Canis lupus familiaris (dog). RNAcentral also lists the same sequence under 1 other name. The record is from RNAcentral. Lineage: Eukaryota; Metazoa; Chordata; Mammalia; Carnivora; Canidae.